This 76-nucleotide small RNA is filed under the name Flavobacterium saccharophilum. Its description in RNAcentral is "Flavo-1 RNA". It matches the Rfam family "Flavo-1 RNA". The record is from RNAcentral. Lineage: Bacteria; Pseudomonadati; Bacteroidota; Flavobacteriia; Flavobacteriales; Flavobacteriaceae.
CCCUAGCCCUGAUGGGAACGGCAUCCUUUUGUGCCGGGGUUCGGCACAAAAGAUACAGUGGACAGCAGGAAUCAGC